UACGUAGGUGGCAAGCGUUGUCCGGAUUUAUUGGGUUUAAAGGGUGCGUAGGCGGUCUUUUAAGUCAGUGCUGAAAUACUCCAGCUUAACUGGAGGGGUGGCAUUGAUACUGGAAGACUUGAGUGUAGUCGAGGUAGGCGGAAUUGACGGUGUAGCGGUGAAAUGCUUAGAUAUCGUCAAGAACACCGAUAGUGAAGACAGCUUACUAGGCUACAACUGACGCUGAGGCACGAAAGUGUGGGGAUCAAACAGGAUUAGAAA
This 261-nucleotide ribosomal RNA is filed under the name uncultured bacterium. RNAcentral's name for it is "partial 16S ribosomal RNA". It matches the Rfam family "Bacterial small subunit ribosomal RNA", at positions 524 to 784 of the family's 1533-position model. The record is from RNAcentral.